RNAcentral lists this ribosomal RNA (537 nucleotides) under uncultured bacterium. RNAcentral's name for it is "bacterial SSU rRNA". It matches the Rfam family "Bacterial small subunit ribosomal RNA", at positions 777 to 1312 of the family's 1533-position model. The record is from RNAcentral.
AAUAGAUACCCCGGUAGUCCACGCCCUAAACGAUGUGUGCUAGUUGUCGGGCCCUUUAGGGUUCGGUGACGCAGCUAACGCUUUAAGCACACCGCCUGGGGAGUACGGUCGCAAGAUUAAAACUCAAAGGAAUUGACGGGGACCCGCACAAGCGGUGGAGCAUGUUCUUUAAUUCGAAGCAACGCGAAGAACCUUACCUACACUUGACAUACCUCUUGGGACUUUCAGAGAUGAUUGUUUUCGGUUCGGCCGGGGAGGAUACAGGUGCUGCAUGGCUGUCGUCAGCUCGUGUCGUGAGAUGUUGGGUUAAGUCCCGCAACGAGCGCAACCCUUAUCGUAUGUUGCCCAGCAUUUAGUUGGGCACUCAUGCGAGACUGCCGGUGAUAAGCCGGAGGAAGGCGGGGACGACGGUCAAGUCAUCAUGGCCCUUACGUGUAGGGCUAGAAACGUGCUACAAUGGUGGUCACAAUGGGCAGCGAAGUCGUGAGGCUAAGCUAAUCCCAAAAGCCAUCUCAGUUCAGAUUGUAGUCUGCUAAC